This is a long non-coding RNA of Cicer arietinum (chickpea), 731 nucleotides long. RefSeq lists it as uncharacterized. NCBI's taxonomy places the organism in Eukaryota, Viridiplantae, Streptophyta, Magnoliopsida, Fabales, Fabaceae. The record is from RefSeq and is a predicted model, not a curated record.
CGCAAAUACCCCCAUUCCCUCUCUAAAAAACCCACCGAACGCUUUUUUGCUUCCGAGAACUCUCACCGGAGAACCACCUUCCACCGCCACCGAUUAUCUGUGACUGUAUUUGACCGUAAUAGCUUCAAACUGCUGCGACAUUCCACCUUCGUUUUCUCAUUCUUCUUUUCACAGCUCUUGGAGCCUAAGAAGUUUGUGCUGACUUGCUGUGAGGUAUACUUGAAGUGAAGAUCAAGAGAAAUCUAAAGGUGGUGGGAGUUUGCGUGUGGAAACAGUUAGAGAAGCUAUGGUUUCCCAUGACGUGAUAGCGUAUAGCUUACUUGUUUAUUUAGUGGUUGCAUUGGUGUUUGAUGUUGGUCGGAAGAGUUUGCUUGUGAACCUGCUCGUAAUGUUCUUGGUGUCUUUUGUGUUUAACCAUAAAAGUCGCGUUGUACUGAAAAUGAAUUACUCUUAUGACUCGAGGAAGGACAAGGACAAAGAAGGAGAUGGUGAUGAUGAUGACCAUGUCAACCUACGUCGCGGAGCAGCUGGUACACCCGAGCGGGCUGACUAACUUCUGGUCAUCGCUAUUGUUGUUUUGCUUCUUUUGACUGUACAGGGGUUUCUUUUUGGGAUGGGGAUUAUAUUUUGAUUCCCCUAUAUGUUUAUAUCACCUGUGUCCCCCACUAAACUCUUUUCAACACUGAUGUUAAAAUCUUUUGAUCAAUGCAUAUAAAUUUUCACUGACUUUU